Molecule: ribosomal RNA, 597 nt
Filed under: uncultured bacterium
Lineage: Bacteria
Description: bacterial SSU rRNA
Rfam family: Bacterial small subunit ribosomal RNA
Source: RNAcentral
GGCGUACCAAGGUUACGAUCAGUAGGGGUUGUUAGAGGAUUAACCCCCACAGAGGUAGUGAGACAUGGACCAGACUCCUACGGGAGGCAGCAGUGAGGAAUAUUGGUCAAUGGGCGGAAGCGUGAACCAGCCAUCCCGGAAGAAGGAAGACAGCCUUACGGGUUGUAAACUUCUUCUGUGUCAGAAGAAUAAGCUGGUCGAGAUGAGUGAUGCCGGUAUGACAGGAAUAAGCAUCGGCUAACUCCGUGCCAGCAGCCGCGGUAAUACGGAGGAUGCAAGCGUUAUCCGGAUUUAUUGGGUUUAAAGGGUGCGCAGGUUGUUUGAUAAGUCAGUGGUGAAAGUCGGUUGCUUAACGGUAGGACUGCCAUUGAUACUGUUGGACUUGAAUAUGGAUGAGGUAGGAGGAAUGUGUGGUGUAGCGGUGAAAUGCAUAGAUAUUACACAGAACACCGAUUGCGAAGGCAGUUUAAUAAUCCAUCAUUGACGAUGAGGCACGAAAGCGUGGGGAUCAAACAGGAUUAGAUACCCUGGUAGUCCACGCCGUAAACGAUGAUCACUCGCUGUUUUCGAUAUACAGUAAGCGGCUAAGCGAAAGCG